UUAGACGGGGACCCGCACAAGCGGUGGAUGAUGUGGAUUAAUUCGAUGCAACGCGAAGAACCUUACCUACCCUUGACAUGUCCGGAACUUGCCAGAGAUGGCUUGGUGCCCGAAAGGGAAUCGGAACACAGGUGCUGCAUGGCUGUCGUCAGCUCGUGUCGUGAGAUGUUGGGUUAAGUCCCGCAACGAGCGCAACCCUUAUCAUUAGUUGCUACGCAAGGGCACUCUAAUGAGACUGCCGGUGACAAACCGGAGGAAGGUGGGGAUGACGUCAAGUCCUCAUGGCCCUUAUGGGUAGGGCUUCACACGUCAUACAAUGGUCGGUACAGAGGGUUGCCAAGCCGCGAGGCGGAGCCAAUCCCACAAAGCCGAUCGUAGUCCGGAUUGUUCUCUGCAACUCGAGAGCAUGAAGUCGGAAUCGCUAGUAAUCGCAGGUCAGCAUACUGCGGUGAAUACGUUCCCGGGUCUU
Molecule: ribosomal RNA, 469 nt
Filed under: uncultured Thiobacillus sp.
Lineage: Bacteria; Pseudomonadati; Pseudomonadota; Betaproteobacteria; Nitrosomonadales; Thiobacillaceae
Description: bacterial SSU rRNA
Rfam family: Bacterial small subunit ribosomal RNA
Source: RNAcentral